AGCGAACGCUGGCGGCGUGCUUAACACAUGCAAGUCGAGGGAGAACGGUUGGCUUCGGCCUUCCUAGUAAACCGGCGCACGGGUGAGUAACACGUAGGUAACCUACCUUCGAGACUGGGAUAACCCAUCGAAAGAUGAGCUAAUACCAGAUAUGACCACGGGAGUUUCGGCUUCCGCGGUGAAAGAUGGCCUCUGCUUGCAAGCUAUUACUCGAGGAUGGGCCUGCGCGCCAUUAGCUAGUUGGUGGGGUAACGGCCCACCAAGGCUACGAUGGCUAGUUGGUCUGAGAGGAUGACCAGCCACACUGGGACUGAGACACGGCCCAGACUCCUACGGGAGGCAGCAGUGGGGAAUAUUGCGCAAU
This 364-nucleotide ribosomal RNA is filed under the name uncultured bacterium. RNAcentral's name for it is "bacterial SSU rRNA". It matches the Rfam family "Bacterial small subunit ribosomal RNA", at positions 29 to 372 of the family's 1533-position model. The record is from RNAcentral.